RNAcentral lists this ribosomal RNA (322 nucleotides) under Brevundimonas sp. RNAcentral's name for it is "bacterial SSU rRNA". It matches the Rfam family "Bacterial small subunit ribosomal RNA", at positions 1 to 351 of the family's 1533-position model. The record is from RNAcentral. Lineage: Bacteria; Pseudomonadati; Pseudomonadota; Alphaproteobacteria; Caulobacterales; Caulobacteraceae.
AAACUUGAGAGUUUGAUCCUGGCUCAGAACGAACGCUGGCGGCAUGCCUAACACAUGCAAGUCGAACGAACCCUUCGGGGUUAGUGGCGCACGGGUGCGUAACACGUGGGAAUCUGCCCUUUGCUUCGGAAUAACAGUUAGAAAUGACUGCUAAUACCGGAUGAUGUCGCAAGACCAAAGAUUUAUCGGCAAAGGAUGAGCCCGCGUAGGAUUAGCUAGUUGGUGGGGUAAAGGCUCACCAAGGCGACGAUCCUUAGCUGGUCUGAGAGGAUGAUCAGCCACACUGGGACUGAGACACGGCCCAGACUCCUACGGGAGGCAG